UAGAAAACGGCAAAACAACAACGACGUGCGUAUUAUUUACAACAUACCUCCAGCAAUAUUAGGUGCCUGUGUGCAGUAUUGGUUAUCCCACAUGGAGGCAACCAAUUCUCUAAGCUGAUGUGUCUAACUUCUCAGUAUUCACAAGUGGCGGAGCUGUGCAAACAUGUCCUUGGAGGGUUCAACAUUGACUGAUACAGGGGGUAGUCACUUUAUUGUUUUUCACCUAUUCAUCCAUAUUGUUUGUGCUUCAUUUUUGCUUGUUACUUAGUUUGUAAGGUUGUUUGCCUUGUAAGAACAUCUUAUCUUAAUCAAUACCCAUCCUAAAAUCGUACACUCUAUUGUAGUAAUUUUUAAAUUGAUGUAUUGUUGUUAUAGAUUACAUCUAUAUUUUGUUCUGGUCAAACGAAAACUUCCUGUGUAUUUCACACUUGUACCUGUAAUGUGCUGUCAAAUAUGUCAAUUCACUGGAAACAACCUCAACAUUCUUGAAAUAAGUAUUAAGUUAUGUUACAAAAUUACCACUACACAUUGCUUUCAAAUUCAGUUGCAUAAAGGUCAGAGGUGUGUCAACCACCUGGCAAUAAUCACUUGUCAUUUCUCACUUUGUAAUGUGCUGCCAUGAGCAGUUAUCUGCUGUAAAUUUCAGUCACAAACAAUAAAAUUUACCCCAAGUUCAUUUAUAUCAAAUUCAAUAUGUGGUACAAGCUUUCUGUAACAUUGAUAUUGGCCUCGGUUUUGGUGUGCAUGUAGUAGGACCAUACAUUGUGCACUCUCAACAAAUGUGCUGUGAAGUUCAGACUGUCAACUCAGAAGUCUCGUCGAUGCACAUUGUCAAAAAUUCAGGCUUGUUUGUACACUAUAGUUUUUUUUUUGUAUGUAUAAUUCAAUUUUAUUUAUUUAUUUGAUUGAUGUUUUACGCCGUACUCAGGAGUAUUUCACUUAUACGAUGGCGGCCAGCACUAUGGAGGGAGGAAACCAGGCAGAGAACGGGGGAAGCCCACGACCAUCUGCAGGUUGCUGGAAGACCUUCCCACUUACAGCCGGAGAGGAAGCCAGCAUGAGCUGGACUUGAACUCACAGCGACCUCAUUGGUUAUCCCACAUGGAGCCAACCAAUUCUCUAAGCUGAUGUGUCUAACUUCUCAGUAUUCACAAGUGGCGGAGCUGUGCAAACAUGUCCUUGGAGGGUUCAACAUUGACUGAUACAGGGGAAGAGAAGCUGCACUCAGCACAGACAAGCCUCUCUGAGACGCACACACCCCGAGGCACCUCGCUGUCCAGAUCCCCGUUCAGCCCUUUAGG
Molecule: long non-coding RNA, 1301 nt
Organism: Liolophura sinensis
Lineage: Eukaryota; Metazoa; Mollusca; Polyplacophora; Chitonida; Chitonidae
Exons: 4
Source: RefSeq, a predicted model, not a curated record